GGGCACUUGGCACAGUUGGUAGCGCGCACGCUUCGCAUUAUGAGCGUUACCGAAAUUGCUCUGCGUGAGGUCAGGAGUUCGACUCUCCUAGUGUCCA
This is a transfer RNA of 97 nucleotides. It matches the Rfam family "tRNA". Rfam says of the family: Transfer RNA (tRNA) molecules are approximately 80 nucleotides in length. Their secondary structure includes four short double-helical elements and three loops (D, anti-codon, and T loops). The record is from Rfam.